RNAcentral lists this ribosomal RNA (465 nucleotides) under Vreelandella stevensii. RNAcentral's name for it is "partial 16S ribosomal RNA". It matches the Rfam family "Bacterial small subunit ribosomal RNA", at positions 338 to 795 of the family's 1533-position model. Lineage: Bacteria; Pseudomonadati; Pseudomonadota; Gammaproteobacteria; Oceanospirillales; Halomonadaceae. The record is from RNAcentral.
CCUACGGGUGGCUGCAGUGGGGAAUAUUGGACAAUGGGGGCAACCCUGAUCCAGCCAUGCCGCGUGUGUGAAGAAGGCCCUCGGGUUGUAAAGCACUUUCAGUGAGGAAGAACGCCUGGUGGUUAAUACCCAUCAGGAAAGACAUCACUCACAGAAGAAGCACCGGCUAACUCCGUGCCAGCAGCCGCGGUAAUACGGAGGGUGCGAGCGUUAAUCGGAAUUACUGGGCGUAAAGCGCGCGUAGGUGGCUUGAUAAGCCGGUUGUGAAAGCCCCGGGCUCAAACUGGGAACGGCAUCCGGAACUGUCAAGCUAGAGUGCAGGAGAGGAAGGUAGAAUUCCCGGUGUAGCGGUGAAAUGCGUAGAGAUCGGGAGGAAUACCAGUGGCGAAGGCGGCCUUCUGGACUGACACUGACACUGAGGUGCGAAAGCGUGGGUAGCAAACAGGAUUAGAUACCCUUGUAGUC